Molecule: ribosomal RNA, 465 nt
Filed under: uncultured bacterium
Lineage: Bacteria
Description: partial 16S ribosomal RNA
Rfam family: Bacterial small subunit ribosomal RNA
Source: RNAcentral
GACGAACGCUGGCGGCGUGCUUAACACAUGCAAGUCGAACGCUGAACCCGCUUCGGUGGGGGAUGAGUGGCGAACGGGUGAGUAACACGUGGGCAACCUGCCCCCGGCUCUGGGAUAACUCCAAGAAAUUGGGGCUAAUACCGGAUGUGACCGCUGGCCGCAUGGUCUGGUGGUGGAAAGGGUUUCCGGCUGGGGAUGGGCCCGCGGCCUAUCAGCUUGUUGGUGGGGUAGUGGCCUACCAAGGCGACGACGGGUAGCCGGCCUGAGAGGGUGACCGGCCACACUGGGACUGAGACACGGCCCAGACUCCUACGGGAGGCAGCAGUGGGGAAUAUUGCGCAAUGGGCGGAAGCCUGACGCAGCGACGCCGCGUGGGGGAUGACGGCCUUCGGGUUGUAAACCUCCUUCAGCAGGGACGAAGCGCAAGUGACGGUACCUGCAGAAGAAGCACCGGCCAACUACGUG